AUAGGCUGAAGCCGUGGUUAAUAUUCUAUAAUGGUAAAUCAGUCAAGUGUAAAUGGUAGAGCAAUAAGUACAUACAGUGUAUUUUAUACUAUCUUUACAGGUCAGCACUUCAAGCAGUACGACCUGGUGGAACUGUGGUGUACUCAACUUGUACUCUGUCACCUUUACAGAAUGAUGGUGUUGUACAUCUAGCACUUUCUAGAAUAUGGCAAGAGACCACCAUUGAAUGCUCUGUUGUGGAUAUGACUUAUGCAGUUCGAUCAUUGAGUUUCCUGUAUCGCUUUGGAAAUAAUUUGGGCUUGCGCUAUGGUCAGGUUGUUCUGCCAUCACUUCUCUCUAAUUUUGGUCCUAUGUAUUGUGCUAAAAUAAGACGAUUAAAAUAAAAAUGUGAAGUUCCUAGUAAGCUGCCAAGGUAAGUCCAUUAUUCAAAUAAAACUAGAGAGGAAGAUAUGAUACUAGUGUAUUACUUUUCAUGUCUCAUUCUUUCAAAAAAUAUUUGAAAUUAUUUGUAAACCAAAUGUAUUGCCAUGUUUUUGAUUGUAAGAAUAUAUGAAUCAUGUAAAUACUGUAUAGAUUUCUAGAGCUUUUAAAUUUUUUCUCAUGUUUUGAUAAAA
Homarus americanus (American lobster) is the source of this 614-nucleotide long non-coding RNA. RefSeq lists it as uncharacterized. Lineage: Eukaryota; Metazoa; Arthropoda; Malacostraca; Decapoda; Nephropidae. The record is from RefSeq and is a predicted model, not a curated record. The transcript is spliced from 2 exons.